CCUACGGGGGGCUUCAGUGGGGAAUAUUGGACAAUGGGGGGAACCCUGAUCCAGCCAUGCCGCGUGUGUGAAGAAGGCCCUCGGGUUGUAAAGCACUUUCAGUGAGGAAGAACGCCUGGUGGUUAAUACCCAUCAGGAAAGACAUCACUCACAGAAGAAGCACCGGCUAACUCCGUGCCAGCAGCCGCGGUAAUACGGAGGGUGCGAGCGUUAAUCGGAAUUACUGGGCGUAAAGCGCGCGUAGGUGGCUUGAUAAGCCGGUUGUGAAAGCCCCGGGCUCAACCUGGGAACGGCAUCCGGAACUGUCAAGCUAGAGUGCAGGAGAGGAAGGUAGAAUUCCCGGUGUAGCGGUGAAAUGCGUAGAGAUCGGGAGGAAUACCAGUGGCGAAGGCGGCCUUCUGGACUGACACUGACACUGAGGUGCGAAAGCGUGGGUAGCAAACAGGAUUAGAUACCCCUGUAGUU
This 465-nucleotide ribosomal RNA is filed under the name Vreelandella stevensii. Its description in RNAcentral is "partial 16S ribosomal RNA". It matches the Rfam family "Bacterial small subunit ribosomal RNA", at positions 338 to 795 of the family's 1533-position model. Lineage: Bacteria; Pseudomonadati; Pseudomonadota; Gammaproteobacteria; Oceanospirillales; Halomonadaceae. The record is from RNAcentral.